UACAGAGGUCUCAAGCGUUGUUCGGAUUCAUUGGGCGUAAAGGGCGCGUAGGCGGCCUGCUAAGUCGAACGUGAAAUCCCCGGGCUCAACCCGGGAACUGCGUCCGAUACUGGCAGGCUUGAAUCCGGGAGAGGGAUGUGGAAUUCCAGGUGUAGCGGUGAAAUGCGUAGAUAUCUGGAGGAACACCGGUGGCGAAGGCGGCAUCCUGGACCGGCAUUGACGCUGAGGCGCGAAAGCCAGGGGAGCAAACGGG
RNAcentral lists this ribosomal RNA (253 nucleotides) under uncultured bacterium. RNAcentral's name for it is "partial 16S ribosomal RNA". It matches the Rfam family "Bacterial small subunit ribosomal RNA", at positions 524 to 776 of the family's 1533-position model. The record is from RNAcentral.